RNAcentral lists this ribosomal RNA (116 nucleotides) under Acinetobacter baumannii. RNAcentral also lists the same sequence under 1 other name. Lineage: Bacteria; Pseudomonadati; Pseudomonadota; Gammaproteobacteria; Moraxellales; Moraxellaceae. The record is from RNAcentral.
CCUGGCGGCACUAGCGCGGUGGUCCCACCUGACCCCAUGCCGAACUCAGAAGUGAAACGCCGUAGCGCCGAUGGUAGUGUGGGGUCUCCCCAUGCGAGAGUAGGACACUGCCAGGC